This 1208-nucleotide ribosomal RNA is filed under the name uncultured crenarchaeote. RNAcentral describes it as "bacterial SSU rRNA". It matches the Rfam family "Archaeal small subunit ribosomal RNA", at positions 55 to 1254 of the family's 1478-position model. Lineage: Archaea; Thermoproteati; Thermoproteota. The record is from RNAcentral.
GACUUCUAGCCAUGAUGAAGUCGUAGCAUACGGCUCAGCAACACGUGGCUAACCUACCCUUGAGACGGAGACAACCCCGGGAAACUGGGGCUAGUCCCAGAUAGAUGAGAACUCCUGGAACGGGUUCUCGUCCAAAAGGCGUCUAGCCAUGCUUCUAAUGUUGCUCAAGGAUGGGGCCGCGGCCGAUCAGGCUGUUGGUGAGGCAACGGCUCACCAAACCUUUAACCGGUACGGGCCGUGGGAGCGGGAGCCCGGAGAUGGGAACUGAGACAAGGUCCCAGCCCUACGGGGCGCAGCCGUUGCGAAAACUUGUCAAUGCACGAAAGUGUGAACGGGCUACCCCGAGUGCUGUCCGCUGAGGAUGGCUUUUCUCUGCUGUUAGAAGGCGGGGGAAUAAGGAGAGGGCAAGUCUGGUGUCAGCCGCCGCGGUAAUACCAGCUCUCCGAGUGGUGGGGAUGUUUAUUGGGCUUAAAGCGUCCGUACCUGCCCUUCAGUCUCUCGUUAAUCCGGCGAUUCAAUCGUUGGACUGCCGGGAGAUACUGUUAGGCUAGAGGCGGGAGAAGCCGACGGUAUUUCCGGGGUAGGGUAAAAUCCUAUAAUCCCGGGAGGACCACCAGUGGCGUAGCGGUCGGCUAGCACGCGCUCGACGGUGAGGGACGAAAAGCUGGGGGAGCAAACCGGAUUAGAUACCCCGGAUAGUCCCAGCUGUAAACGAUGCGGGCUAGUGUUGGGGUGGCCACGAGCCACUUCAGUGCCGCAGGGAAGCCAUUAAGCCCGCCGCCUGGGGAGUACGGCCGCAAGGCUGAAACUUAAAGGAAUUGGCGGGGGAGCACCACAAGGGGUGAAGCUUGCGGUUCAAUUGGAGUCAACGCCGGGAACCUUACCGGGGGACGACAGCAGGUUGAAAGCCAGAUUGGACGAUCUUGCUGGACGAGCUGAGAGGAGGUGCAUGGCCGUCGCCAGUUCGUGCCGUGAGGUGUCCUGUCAAGUCAGGCAACGAUCGAGACCCACGCUCCCUGUUGCUACCGAGGAGUUUUCCAAGGGGCACUCUGGGGGGACUGCCGUCGAUAAGACNGGAGGAAGGGGUGGGCUACGGCAGGUCAGUAUGCCCCGAAUCCUCCGGGCCACACGCGAGCUGCAAUGGUUGGGACAGUGGGCUCCGACCUCGAAAGGGGGAGGCAAUCCCGAAACCCAGCCUCAGUUUGGAU